AAAUUUAAUCUUUAAAAAUAAACAGCCUCGAUGAAGCGGGUAACAGUGGCAGAGACGGAAAUUUGCGACAUGAGAAAAUGCGACAAAGUGGUUCUGUCGUAAAAUUUGGAUUUUUUUUAGCGCAGCAUUUUUGAAUGUGAAGUUUUUAGAAUUGGAUUUAAUUGAUUGAAUGCAAAAAAUAAUCAAAAUAUUCCUAAGUAAUGCUCACUACAGCUCAAACCUUGUCUGAAACGAUAAAAUCUAAUUUAAAUCAGGUUGGUUUGAGGCUUUAAAUUAGCUUGGGUUGAGGUUUUUGUGCAAAAUAAUAUUCAAAAUGUUCCUAGCUAACGCCCGUAAUUGUUCAUAGCUAAUGCUCGCAACAGCACAAACCUGAACUGAGAAAAUCUUAUUUAAAUCAAUCACAGGACAUUUUUGGAGAACAUUUAGCCUUUGAUGUUUAUGUUUAUGAGAACAUUGAACACGGAUUUUAAUUUUUUGGAGAACACUAUACACGAACUUUACUACAUAGUAUAU
Long non-coding RNA from Bradysia coprophila, 513 nucleotides. The record is from RefSeq and is a predicted model, not a curated record. Lineage: Eukaryota; Metazoa; Arthropoda; Insecta; Diptera; Sciaridae.